Long non-coding RNA from Hipposideros armiger (great roundleaf bat), 1912 nucleotides. RefSeq lists it as uncharacterized. The record is from RefSeq and is a predicted model, not a curated record. The transcript has 3 exons. NCBI's taxonomy places the organism in Eukaryota, Metazoa, Chordata, Mammalia, Chiroptera, Hipposideridae.
UUUUAAAUGAUGUCAUGAACACCCCCUUUAACGCUGCGCUGCACCUCCCCAACCCAAGAACUAAAAUAUCACCGAUAAUUUUCAUCUACUUCCACGUGCUCGCCAUCCUUGAGCCCUGUCUCCCCCUCAGAAGUAACCUGCAUCAUGCUUUGUGUUUACACAGCUCUUACAUUGCUUUAACUUCUUUUCACAUUUCUGUGCAUUAUUGAGCAAUAGAUUUUUUUUUUUUUUGUAAGAACACCAAUUCCAUUCCUGGGGGCUCCAACACUCGUGAUGUAAGCAGCUCCCAAUGGCCCCACCUCCUAACACCAUCACGUCGGUCCAACAUAUGAAUUCUGAGGCGACACAAACAUUCAGACCAUAACACCAAGAUUCGCCUUCUUGUCGAGUGAAGUUGCAUUUCAUUCAUUUUCUCUGCCACGUAAUCCGGUCCGUCUUCAGGGUUCGAGGACUUGGAAGGCAGGUCAAGAAAAAACGAUGUGGCCAUGAAGUGGCAGUAGGACACACAGGCUUUAUUUGGACGCGCAAGAAUGACCACCUCCUAGUGGGCACAUACCUGUCUGUGGACAAGCUCCUCAGGCCAGGGCUUCACCUACACCUUUGAACCCACCUGGACCCCAUUUGGGGCCUGGUAAGUGUGAUUGAUGCCCAGCAGAACUGGUUGGGUGGCCAGGUGGUCAUGCACUCUGUCACUUCUGUCCACAGGAUGGCAGCAUUUAGUCAAGGCUCCAGCCCCACCAGGGCCCGCCCGGCUGUUUGGGAAUUUGAAAGUACCUGGUUUCUUACUGGAAUGAAAACAGUACAUCAGAUCUCCUCCUAUGAGGGAACCAGAUACAAUAAUGCACCGUGUUAUCUACCCACCCUCUCGUCCAUGCACUUCCUGGAAGAUGACCGCUUUGAGGUGAAUUACACGAUGUUUCGGGACUGGGCAUCCGUCCCAGAAGGACUAUCGCGGUCUAGAGCUUGUGUUAGCUGAACUCCAGCAAGUAGGCUGAAAUCAUAGCUCAUUUCACCCACAACUCAUUAGAUGCAAAGAAUUAUUGUUAAAGAGAAAGGAGGGAAAAUGAACAAUUGAGCACUUACUGUAUGCCAUGUGCUUUAGACCAGGGCUUUCCUAAGUGCGUGGGCAUCAGAAUCACUGGUUAAAACACACUGCUGGCCCCCCCCCAAACCCCCCACCCCGAGCUUCUGACUCCGUAGGUCUGGGCGGGGCCUGAGGAUCUGCAUCUAACAAGGCCCCAGCUGGUGCUGGUGCUGGGCCAGGCAGUCGCCACUUUCAAACAAUCACACCGAAUCCUUAGUAAGUGUUAUUGUCUCCAUUUUGCAGAUGAGAAAACUGAGGUUCAGGAGCUUAAAUGGCUUGCCUCAUGAUACACCCUCGUAAGUGGACCCCUGGAAUGUGAACCCCGGUCAGUCUGACUCCCAACCCUGGCUCUGCCCACCGCACCAUUCUGUAAGAAAAAGGGAAUCAACCUGUACUUUGGGGGUUUCUUUGAAACGUAUGGCCCCAAAAAGGAGGAAGCAGUGCCCAAAGCCAGUGUGAUUCUUUUCAGAGUUUAGCAAUAACAAUUAAGCCUGGCAGUUCCUCUGGUUAUGAAAGUAUUGAAGAAAGCUACCAAAGCGGAAUAAACAGGUGCAUUGUGUAUGAAGACACAUGCUGCUUUGCAUUAGUCAUGUAAAUUAAAACGUCUUUGAAGAUGAAAUAUAGACAUGGUGGGUAUUUUAAUCACCAGACUCCAACUUUGAAACCAGUAUAGGAUGUGGAAAAAAGACAGAAGUCAGUAAUUAUAAAAUCCUCCAGCUUGCCCGGGGAGAGAAAGGACACAGUUUGCCUAUGGAAAUAAAUGAGUAAAUUCAAGCUGGUGGGCUUUCGCUAGAAGUGAAUCGGCAGAUUAAUGACUGGGCUUGAGUU